UACAAGAAGAAGCAAAGCAAAGAAAGACCAGAGGCUGUCAUCUAACAGGCUACUCCAAACGGAGCAUCUUCCACAUGAGAUUAGAGAAGAAGAUUAUCCCCCUCAACACCUGUGUUUAUCUGUAUCCUUCAUGGUGUUCUACACAGCGACCCAAGGGCACCCUCCCUGACCUACUGUGAGACUCACUAUGCUGUUGAGUGUGAAAGAGUCUGGAAAGUAAGACCCCAAAAGUUAGGAAGUGGGCUUUGCAUGGGUCAGCACUGAAUUGUGGCUACACACAGUAACCAGGGAGAGAGAGGAUCCAGUGGUGACGCGACAGGACCGACCACAGUCCUUAACCUCCGGGGAGAAGGAGCGUCUAGAACUUACGAAAGAAAGACAGAAAUGAGAUGCAGGGUCUCUGUCAUGAACAAGUAGCCUAUCAAGACCAGAAGGCCCAUUUGAAGCUCUGAAAAUGUUUCGGUAUUCUUCAAGCAGGAAAUCUUUCAAUAAUACUAAGAGGUUUCACACUAUAAUGAAG
Molecule: long non-coding RNA, 520 nt
Organism: Bos taurus (domestic cattle)
Lineage: Eukaryota; Metazoa; Chordata; Mammalia; Artiodactyla; Bovidae
Source: Ensembl